UUCGAACAAUUCUGAAGUUUGUUAUGGAAUGUUGAUGUUUUCGUAUCGCGUUAACGGAACUGACAUAUAUAGUAAAUACGCAUGUACGUGCUUCCACGUGAUCACCGGUUUCAUUCAAUUCGCGAAGCAGAAAGGUAGUUACAGUAUAACUUGUUCCACAAAAAAAGGGUGGGGACUAAAAAAAGGAAUCUCAACACGCAAAAUCCAGUAAAGCCAGAAGGAUAGACGAAGAUGUGACAGAGGGAACAGGGCGGGGAGAAGAGGAGCGGGGAAGAAAGGAGACGUGAACACGUGAUCGAGAAACAAGCGUUCACUCGCUCACCUGCAAACAGAGGUCGAAAUCUGGGCAUUCUACACAUCUGACACGUAGGCCCGAGAUAUCCUCUUGACAAUAGGGUUCUUCCAGAACGAUCGGGAUGACGUCACCGCAUGCCAAAAAGCAAUAAGUUUACGUAUCACGUACACUGAACGUGCAAGCUUGACCCCAUUUUUUCCGCGAAAUCGUACGAAAACGCGGAAAAAUCCUGGUGCGUCCGCCUGGACGCUCUAAUUAUUGUACAAGCGUAAACUCGUUAGAAAUCUGAAUGGAAAAAAUGUUGUUUACGACUGUUGCGUCGCGAAACGAGUACGCAUGCGUUCCUUCUCCUACCAUCUAGGUAAACUACGUUUCAGUUCCGCCAACUGUGUAAUAAGAAAAUUGCCUUCUUCCGCAAACCAAAUAUAAUUUAUCCGCGCGCAUUCAAAUAAAGCAACACUGUUUUAGCAUUUCUCAAUUUUUUUCGUUUAUAUAAAGUCGGACAUCGUGCGUGAACAUAUAAAAUAUAUAUCGAAUAGAGCAACAGAUUAAUACAACCCCGGAAAUACGAUAAAAUGUUGGCUGUAAGUAAAUAUUUUUGAAAACAUUUUUUACUACUUUUCCGAGAACAUAUCAACUGCUUUUUGUAUUGUAUAUUACAUAAACAUUACAUUAUAAAUUUAUCAUAAUGAAAAUAUUUAUGUAAUAUGCUUCUUGAAUGUUAUCAAAUAAUUUGAAACAUGUAAAAUUACAUUCGUAGAUUGUUCAGUUAAAAGCUUUUCGUAAGAACAUUAUCUUAUCACGUCGAUCAAUUUGCAUGGGGCGUCCACGAUUAAUCUCUGAUAAAGAUUUACAGAAACUGAAAUUAAAGCAAGCAAGAAUGCAGGUCUAACUGAUUUUGAUAUAAAUAUAAAAUGACGUGAUAUAUGAUAAUUAAAUGAACUCCGUGUAAUUUAUAUAUAAUUAUUUUCCAUUUAUUUAAACAGUGUGAAGAUAAUCUUCCUGUGUAUUUGAAGUGUGGUACACGAGAUAAAGUGGUAUAUUGGAUCAUUGUAGCAUUUACUGUGUAUUGCACAAUACAAUCAUUUAAAGGAAUAAAGAUAUUACUUGAGAAAUAUUCAUAGAACUAUAAGAAAUUUAUUGCAAUAAAAAAAAUUUAACAUUGAAUAAUUGUAUAAUUUUCUUUAAUAAAAUCUUUAAUUGCAA
Long non-coding RNA from Bombus pyrosoma, 1501 nucleotides. RefSeq lists it as uncharacterized. The transcript has 2 exons. NCBI's taxonomy places the organism in Eukaryota, Metazoa, Arthropoda, Insecta, Hymenoptera, Apidae. The record is from RefSeq and is a predicted model, not a curated record.